GCAUGAAACUCUCUUUUGCUAAUAUAUAUAUGUUCUUUUUUUUUUUUUUCCUGAGAAAUAUCUGCCCCUCACAUUAUAGAAUCAUGCAAAAAAGAUGUGAGAACAAAACAAGCAUUAUCAAAGAGGAACCAAAGAACAUGAUUAACACAGUGACAAACCCUUCAGACAAAUGGAAUUUUUCCUGUCCUAAACUGUGCUGGAUGGGAGGCGUUGCACAUUCAAAGCUCCCGUUUAAAUCUCAAGCAGAAAUGGCAGAGUCCACAGCUCCUGAACCUUCUGAUGUACCUUGGAGGCAUCCUGAGAGGCCCUGUCCCAGGGUAAAUCCCACUGAACAGGCAAUGGCUUCUCUGCAGCUAUUUGCAACUAAAACAACUUCUUCCUAGGCAAUAAAUUUUCUAACCUUUUCUUCUUCUAGUGGAGGAGCAGUUGUAAACUUCCAGUGCCAGGAGUUGUUGUCCAGCUGGGAGCUUCAACAUCUUAUAAGGGUGAUGGACGGCAGAGCCCUGCAAGGUCUGGAGGCAAGAUCUGUGACUUGGUCUUCACUGUUUGUACUGCUCUGAGAACACGUUAGGGAAAAAUUGAGGCUGAAAUAUUAUUCAGCAGCAAACUGACAGAAGAGGUUUUGGGCAAAGCAGUGAUGCACCACUGAGGUUCCUUACACAUGCAAGGGGUAUAUCUAUCCUUGCACAUCCAAGUACCACAAGACUCUCCUUUGUGGUUGCAGUGCAGUAUGGCACUCAUCUCCAGUUACUCUAAACCCUUUUCUGAGGCUCUGUUGCCCCAGCCAGAUUCUAUUCUUUGUACUUCAGUGUAUUAUCUGAAUAGGGGGGAAGCGCAGCGUUCAUCUAUCUUAAAAUGUGUUUUGUUGGUUUGUAGACAUUUGUCCAAGCAAUUCACAUCACUCUGUACCAAGAAGUUCUCUCCUUCCGAAGGUUCCACCAAUCUUUGUGUCAUCAAUAUGUUCUACAAGAUUUCAUUUUAUCAUCUGGAUUGCUGAUAAAAAUGUGAAUGCAUCCCUGCAGGCCAACCUUCCCUUGUGCCAGGGCCCUCAGACCCAUCACCCCACAGAUUUCAAGCCUUCUAAUUAAGAUCUGACAUUUGCUUUAAAGAAUGUACAACAAAUAGAGCAAAGGCAAAGCAAAACUGCUUGGAUUCUGAACCACAAAUAGGAGGUAGACCAAGGUUACAGAAACAAAUAA
This 1199-nucleotide long non-coding RNA is filed under the name Coturnix japonica (Japanese quail). Its description in RNAcentral is "lncRNA (ENSCJPG00005000103.1)". The record is from RNAcentral. Lineage: Eukaryota; Metazoa; Chordata; Aves; Galliformes; Phasianidae.